AGCCGCCCUAUCGCCGGCAGCGCAAGCUGAAGGAGGAAAGUCCGGGCAGCAGAGAGUCGCCAUACUUCCUAACGGGAAGGGGCGCGCCGCGCAAGCGGCGCGCCACAGACAGUGCCACAGAAAAGAUACCGCUUGUGUCGACGGGGAGACCCGCGACAGCAAGCAAGGGUGAAAACGCGAGGCAAGAGCUCACGACGGGCACAGCGAUGUGCCUGAUGGCAAACCUUAUGGGCUGAAAGACCAAAUAUACCGGCAGUCAAGGGUUGACUCGCCCGUUGCCGGGGGGUAGGUUGAUGGAGGCAUCCGGUGACGGAUGUCCUAGAUUAAUGAUAGGGAGCCUCUUCUUGAAGCGGCUACAGAACCCGGCUUACAGGCUGUCG
RNAcentral lists this RNase P RNA (380 nucleotides) under bovine gut metagenome. RNAcentral describes it as "Bacterial RNase P class A". It matches the Rfam family "Bacterial RNase P class A". From Rfam's summary of the family: Ribonuclease P (RNase P) is a ubiquitous endoribonuclease, found in archaea, bacteria and eukarya as well as chloroplasts and mitochondria. Its best characterised activity is the generation of mature 5'-ends of tRNAs by cleaving the 5'-leader elements of precursor-tRNAs. The record is from RNAcentral.